Long non-coding RNA from Planococcus citri (citrus mealybug), 986 nucleotides. RefSeq lists it as uncharacterized. The transcript is spliced from 4 exons. The record is from RefSeq and is a predicted model, not a curated record. Lineage: Eukaryota; Metazoa; Arthropoda; Insecta; Hemiptera; Pseudococcidae.
UCAAUUUUAUCAAUGUUCUCGUAACGCAAACGCAGGUUUACUAAAAAAUUUGGGUAUUUAAAUUAUUUAAAGCACAUUUUAUACAUUAAAUAGGUGAAUUUUAUAAUUAUGGAACGUAAAUACCAUUUUUAUCUCAGUAGUAAUACUCGUACUACUAAAUAUGAUCCCGAGGAGGAAUACCUAAUGACCAGGAAGAGAAGUAUUGCAUUACCUGUGGGAACGGAGAUGCAAGAUACAACAGCAUUUCAUUUUCAGUGAGUAAAAAGGUUAAAAUUGGGCAUUUAUGUAAUUAUUUGACCAUAAAAUACAAGUUGUACGUACUUCAAGAAAAGAAUUUCAUCACUUCGAUGAUACGUACCUUGUGUACCGUACGAAAAUUGGUGAUAAUGUCGUCGUUUGACAAAGUCUAUAAAGAAAUGGAUAUUCGUAUUGAGAGCAAGUAAAUUUGAAAAAUGAAAAUACACUUCAUGUUCUUCAAGCAAACGGAAUUAUGUGUGGAUGGUUUUGUAUGUUUAGAUCCGUAGUUCCGUACCUAUGUUGUUGCUUACUUGAAGAUAUUGAGUUUCAAAAUGAGUGUGUAAUGCAGUUUUCGUUGAAUUUCAACGAUACAGCUGCCGUACCCUCUAAUUCCGAUUAUUUUUGUAUGUACCAGUAGUGAGUUUUUUUUCAAUUUGACUCGAUUGGAAAUCUUCAUUCUAUUUGUCGUGGUGCCUUACGAAAAUGCUGCACCCUUUUUUGCGGUGCCAACGGAGACAGAUUUUGAACAUAAAAAUGUUGAAAAAAAUCAACCAAGGAUUUCUUUUGGAACCGAAAACAAAACAGAUACGGUAGAAUUUCAGUCAUCAAAAAAAUCAAUGAACGUGAAUAAUGGUUUCAUUUUGCUGAAGUUUUUUAAAAUAUGCUGUUUUCUACAAUCGAGUUAAGAAUUUGUUCAAGACAUGAUAAUGUAGAUACUUCGUUACAAGAAUAAAUGAAUUACAAAAAUA